CUACGGGUGGCACCAGUGGGGAAUAUUGCACGAUGGAGGAAACUCUGAUGCAGCAACGCCGCGUGGAGGAUGACACUUUUCGGAGCGUAAACUCCUUUUAUAUAGGAAGAAGAUGACGGUACUAUAUGAAUAAGCGCCGGCUAACUCCGUGCCAGCAGCCGCGGUAAUACGGAGGGCGCAAGCGUUACUCGGAAUCACUGGGCGUAAAGAGCGUGUAGGCGGAUUAAAAGGUCAGAAGUGAAAUCCUACAGCUUAACUAUAGAACUGCUUCUGAAACUCUUAAUCUAGAAUAUGGGAGAGGUAGAUGGAAUUUCUGGUGUAGGGGUAAAAUCCGUAGAGAUCAGAAGGAAUACCGAUUGCGAAGGCGAUCUACUAGAACAUUAUUGACGCUGAGACGCGAAAGCGUGGGGAGCAAACAGGAUUAGAUACCCUUGUAGUC
RNAcentral lists this ribosomal RNA (439 nucleotides) under uncultured bacterium. RNAcentral describes it as "partial 16S ribosomal RNA". It matches the Rfam family "Bacterial small subunit ribosomal RNA", at positions 339 to 795 of the family's 1533-position model. The record is from RNAcentral.